RNAcentral lists this ribosomal RNA (253 nucleotides) under uncultured bacterium. RNAcentral describes it as "partial 16S ribosomal RNA". It matches the Rfam family "Bacterial small subunit ribosomal RNA", at positions 524 to 776 of the family's 1533-position model. The record is from RNAcentral.
UACGGAGGGUGCGAGCGUUGUCCGGGAUCACUGGGCGUAAAGGGCGCGUAGGUGGCGUCGCAAGUCAACGGUGAAAGCUCGACGCUCAACGUCGAGUCGGCCGUCGAGACUGCGAGGCUUGAGCACUGUAGAGGCAGAUGGAAUUCCGGGUGUAGCGGUGGAAUGCGUAGAGAUCCGGAAGAACACCGGUGGCGAAGGCGGUCUGCUGGGCAGUUGCUGACACUGAGGCGCGACAGCGUGGGGAGCAAACAGG